AGUGGCGCACGGGUGAGUAACGCGUAAGUAAUCUACCCCUGUAUUUGGAAUAACCCACCGAAAGGUGAGCUAAUACCGAAUACGUUUAUCUUGAUGCGAAUGAUGAUAAAGAAAGGUGGCCUCUUCAUGAAAGCUACUGUACAGGGACGAGCUUGCGUACCAUUAGCUAGUUGGUAGGGUAAUGGCCUACCAAGGCGACGAUGGUUAGCGGGUCUGAGAGGAUGAUCCGCCACACUGGAACUGGAACACGGACCAGACUCCUACGGGAGGCAGCAGUGAGGAAUAUUGCGCAAUGGGGGCAACCCUGACGCAGCGACGCCGCGUGGAUGAUGAAGCCCUUGGGUCGUAAAAUCCUGUCAGAUGGAAAGAAAUGUAUAGCAGCUAAUAUCUGUUAUAUUUGACGGUACCAUCAAAGGAAGCACCGGCUAACUCCGUGCCAGCAGCCGCGGUAAUACCGAGGGUGCAAGCGUUGUUCGGAAUUACUGGGCGUAAAGCGCGC
RNAcentral lists this ribosomal RNA (499 nucleotides) under uncultured delta proteobacterium. RNAcentral's name for it is "bacterial SSU rRNA". It matches the Rfam family "Bacterial small subunit ribosomal RNA", at positions 94 to 570 of the family's 1533-position model. Lineage: Bacteria; Deltaproteobacteria. The record is from RNAcentral.